CUUCAUGUAGGCCAGCAUUUCAGGUGUCCAUGUUUCUAAGGCUUUUGCUUAAAUUGCCCAUUGCAGCUCUAUUUUAUUUUUAGGAAUCUGACUUGGAGUAGACGAGAAGUGUGAGACACUUGCUGUCACCCUCAAGCAGGCAGGUUGUUCUGAGUGCUCUUCCUAGGGAAGGAAUCCCGUUUCCAGCAGGUUAUUCCGAGUGCUCUUCCUAGGGAAGGAAUCCCGUUUCCAGCAGGUUAUUCCGAGUGCUCUUCCUAGGGAAGGAAUCCCAGUCACCCUCAAGCAGGCAGGUUGUGGCAGGUUGUUCUGAGUGCUCUUCCUAGGGAAGGAACCCCAUUUCCAGCAGGUUAUUCCGAGUGCUCUUCCUAGGGAAGGAACCCCAUUUCCACAGGUUAUUCCGAGUGCUCUUCCUAGCAAAGGAAUCCCAUUUCCAGCAGGUUAUUCUGAGUGCUCUUCCUAGCGAAGGAAUCCCAUUUCCAGCAGGUUAUUCCAAGUGCUCUUCCUAGGGAAGGAAUCCCAGUCACCCUCAAGCAGGCAGGUUGUGGCAGGUUGUUCUGAGUGCUCUUCCUAGGGAAGGAACCCCAUUUCCAGCAGGUUAUUCUGAGUGCUCGUCCUAGGGAAGGAACCCCAUUUCCAGCAGGUUAUUCCGAGUGCUCUUCCUAGGGAAGGAAUCCCAUUUCCAGCAGGUUAUUCCGAGUGCUCUUCCUAGGGAAGGAAUCUCAUUUCCACAGGUUAUUCCGAGUGCUCUUCCUAGGGAAGGAACCCCAUUUCCAGCAGGUUAUUCUGAGUGCUCUUCCUAGCGAAGGAAUCCCAUUUCCAGCAGGUUAUUCCAAGUGCUCUUCCUAGCGAAGGAAUCCCAUUUCCAGCAGGUUAUUCCGAGUGCUCUUCCUAGCGAAGGAAUCCCAUUUCCAGCAGGUUAUUCCAAGGAAUCCCAUUUCCAGCAGGUUAUUCCGAGUGCUCUUCCUAGCGAAGGAAUCCCAUUUCCAGCAGGUUAUUCCGAGUGCUCUUCCUAGGGAAGGAACCCCAUUUCCAGUAGGUUAUUCCGAGUGCUCUUCCUAGGGAAGGAACCCCAUUUCCAGUAGGUUAUUCCGAGUGCUCUUCCUAGGGAAGGAACCCCAUUUCCAGUAGGUUAUUCCGAGUGCUCUUCCUAGGGAAGGAACCCCAUUUCCAGCUGUGCACAUGCAGCAUUUCCCCUGGCAUUCUUUCAACAGGGAACCAGAUCUCCUCAUCCGAUGGCAACUCAGGAAGGGUUGGUGUCAUACCCUGCAUCGAGCAGCAGCCUCGGACCUGCCCCCACGCUCUGCGUGCCCUGUACUGGUCAUGCUGGUCUCAGCUUGUCUGCUCUCAGUCCUGUCUGAUCUGCACAGAGAAGCCACCCUAGACAUAAGAAAUCAGGCACCCCUUCUCGGGGGUGGGCAGAGCCCUGGGUACUGGCUCUUUGUUCUUCGAGAGAGGAAGGAGUGGCGGUAGUUAGCUUCAAUCCCUGAGCUGGGUUUGGAGAUCAGAACACCUUGUCCAUUGCGGCUCCUGUUUCAUUGUUAAGAGUCCACACAGGAUGUUCUCUGGCCUGGACACCGCUAAGCCAGCUUUCAGACAAGUCCCCUCAGUAAGAGCAGAGUGAACUCUUUAUUGAUUAUACAAAUUACCACUAUUUAUUUUAAACCCAAAGUGACUUCAAAGUUGUUUUUUGGUUUUUAAAAGGGCUAGAGAAAAUGGACUGAGGGGAAGGAAUGGGCACAAUAUCUAGGUUUAGCUGAAUCACAGAGCUGUUAGCUGCUGCUUUCAUCCACAGGUACUCCUUUUACAUUAUUAUUUUUUAGAGAGUCUUGCUCCGUCACCCAGGCAGGAGUGCAAUGGCAUGAUCUCGGCUCACUGCAGCCUCUGCCUCCUGGGUUCAAGCGAUCCUCCUGCCUCAGCCUCCUGAGUAGCUGGGAUUACAGGCGCCCACCACCACACCUGGCUAAUUUUGUAUUUUUAGUAAAGACAGGGUUUCACCAUGUCGGCCAGGCUGGUCUCGAACUCCUGACCUCACAUGAUCCACCUGCCUCGGCCUCCCAAAGUGCUGGGAUUACAGGUGUGAGCCACCAUGCCCAGCCUAUUUUUUAAUAGAGAUGGGGUCUCACUCUGUUGCCCAGGCUUGUCUUGAAGUCCUGGGCUCAAGCAAUCUUCCCACCUCAGCCUCUCCAAGCACUGGCAUUACAGGUGUGAUGCCACAGUACCCGGCCUAGGGUGCCCCUUUGAUACGUUAUUUUUGAAGUGAUGUUAAUAAAUAAAGCUUCUGCUUGGGGGUUGGUCAUCAAAACAAGAAGAAUCCUCAUCAGUAUGGAGAGAGCCCAAUUCUGGGCAUGGUCCCCACCACCACCAAAAGUUUUUUUUUUUUUAACUGAGUCUCACUCUGUCUCCCAGGCUGGAGUGCAGUGGCGGGACCUCGGCUCACUGCAACCUCUGCCUCCCAGAUUCAACUGAUUCCCCUGCCUCAGCCUCCCAAGUAGCUGGGAUUACAGGCACCCGCCACCUGUUUUUUGUUUUUUGUUUUUUUUUUUUUUUUGUAUUUUUAGUAGAGAUGGGAUUUUGCCAUGUUGGCUAGGCUGGUCUCAAACUCCUGACCUCACGUGAUCCGCCCACCUCGGCCUCCCAAAGUGCUGGGAUUACAGGCGUGAGCCACCGCGCCUGACCCAACACAAGUUUAAAAUGAAAGCUGUUAUCAGUAGAGAAUCUUCACCACGUUGGCACCAGCUCAAGUGUAGUGUCUGCGCACUUUUAGCUUAGAGUCAGAAAAAGAGACAUGUAUGAAAAUGUGUGGCAGGAGCCCUUCCAUAAAGCAAAUCUCUCUGUUGCAAUGGUUCUUAACAAGGUGUAAACGUUAUAACUACCUAUGGAACUUUUAAACCUGUAUGCCAGGCCCCAUCCAAACUUACUGACUCAAAAUCUCCGGGCAUCUGUUUUUUUGUUUGUUUGUUUGUUUGUUUUGAGAUAGAGUCUCACUCUGUCACCAGGGUGGAGUGCAGUGGCGUGAUCUCGGCUCACUGCAAUCUUUGCCUCCCGGGUUCAAGUGAUUCUCCUGCCUCAGCCUCCCAAGUAGCUGGGAGGUGUACACGCCACCACAGCCCGGUAAUUUUUGUAUUUUUUGUAGAGAUGGGGUUUCACCAUAUUGGCAAGGAUGGUCUCAAUUUCCUGAGCUUGUGAUCCGCCCGCCUCAGCCUCCCCAAGUGCUGGGAUUCCAGGCGUGAGCCACGGCGCCCGGCCGGCAUCUGUAUAUUUUAAAAGGCCCCAGUGGUUCUGAUGCACACCCCCAGAAGAGAAACACAGCGUCUCUACACAGUACUCAGUCCCCAUCAAGGAGACAUUUAACAGAAACUCCUACUGACAUCCAUUGGCUCCUUGGGGAUUACUGACAAUGUAACAAAUCAAGACAGCAACUUCCCUGGCUGUGACCACCAACUGUGGAAAACAGCAGCUUGAUAGCUCAAUGCUGUGAUGGAGCCGUCCGGAAAACGACUCCUCAACAACGAACCAAAAAGAGAAGUGGUGAUCUGUACACAAACGCCAGGAGUGACAAGAACCAGGUGCAGGAGUCCACUGGCUUUCCCCAGCUCUCCUGGGUUGAGGACAGACGGCUGAACUGGCUGUGCUAUUUGGAGAUGGGCCCCACCGCCCCUUUUCAACUGUACGGCUCAGGCUGCUUAACCAUAGCAACCCCAUGGGCUGGGGUGGGGGCAUCUACAGGGCUUCCUGGGGGCUCUCCCGACUGCCACCCCCCGCCCUUGUCUUAUUUGUAAUCUUUUCCUAAUAGACCUCAACUAAAGGCCGCACCUCCUUCUCGCAACACUUCUUUUCUCCUCCGCAUUCUCAAAUUUGAGACGCUUGAUGCGUGAGAGUCAAACCAGCUAGCAAGGACAGCCUGGAAGCCGAUGAAGAAAUGACGCUCAGGAUCAGAGCUGGACGGCAUCGGGGAGAAAGCCUGGCAGAGAAGGCAGGGGCACAGAGCAGUGGUUAUGUUGGGAAACAAGGUGGGGAUGAGGAAAUCAGGUUUCCAGGCAGAUUUCCAAACCUUAUUCCUACUGUACGGGUGUUACAAGUUUUAUGGAUUUUAAGGAAAUUUCCUCUGUCCUGAAAACUUUUUGAGACGGGGUCUUGCUCUGUCACCCAGGCUGGAGUGCAGUGGUGAAAUCUUGGCUCACUGCAGCCUCCACCUCCCGGGUUUAAGUGAUUCUCCUGUCUCAGCCUCCCCAGUAGCUGGGAUUACAGGCACUCGCCAUGACACCCAGCUAAUUUUUUAAUUUUUAGUUGAGACAGGGUUUCGCCAUGUUGGCCAGGCUGGUCUCGAAUUCCUGACCUCAGGUGAUCCACCUGCCUCAGCCUCCCAAAGUGCUGUGAUUACAGGCAUGAGCCACCACACCCAGCCAAUUUUUUGUAUUUUUGGUUUCACCAGGUUGCCCAGACUGGUCUCAAACUCCUGAGCUCAAGCAAUCUGCCCACCUCAGCCUCCCUAGCAGUUGGGACUACAGGUGCAUGCCACCACACCUUGCAAAUUUUUAUUUUUGUAGACAUCUGUAUGUUGCCCAGGCUGGUCUCAAACUCCUGGACUCAAGUGAUCCUCCUGCCUUGGUCUCCCAAAGUGUUGGGACUACAGGCAUGAGCCGCCGUGCCUGGCAAGAUAUCAUUCUUCAGCAAAAGCAGGCAGCAACAGCAGCGGUUUGCCUGUAGCUGUGGUCAUGGUUAACUGAGGCCUGGUUUCAAGGGAACCGAGUGAAUCAGGAUAAUGGCUUGAUAUGCUGCCGUUCUCUGGAUGCAGGAUGACAUGAGAGGCUGGGAGCAGUCUCUUCGGCAAGCCCUGCUGCAGAGAGCCCGCGGUGGACAGGAAGGGCGGGGGGGCGGGCAGGCUGCGUGCCAGGCCAGGCUCUCAGCCUGGUCUUUAAGGUCCAUUUUCUGUUCCUGAGGCAUCCAGAACCCCAGACUCCUUCUCAUAACACAGGAACACAUCACUGGGACGCUGCACAUCAACUUUGCUAUUUCAGAUGAUGCUGGAAAGUGCUGUGGACCUGAAGGUGAGUGGGCAGAAAGGGGUUUGAGGGUAUGGACUUCCUGGGCGUUCCCGUGGCUUCAUCUGAUGAGAAAACCUAGGAAACGUCUUCCAAGUGAACUUCCUGGUUUCCCUUCCCUAGAAGCCAGGAGCAGGGUGGGAGUAAAGAAAUGGAAGAAGGGGCUGGGCUCGGUGGCUCACGCCUGUAAUCCGAUACUCAGGAGGCUGAGGCAGGAGAAUUGCUUGAACC
Molecule: long non-coding RNA, 5273 nt
Filed under: Pan troglodytes (chimpanzee)
Lineage: Eukaryota; Metazoa; Chordata; Mammalia; Primates; Hominidae
Description: long non-coding RNA NONPTRT006592
Source: RNAcentral